This 468-nucleotide ribosomal RNA is filed under the name uncultured bacterium. RNAcentral's name for it is "partial 16S ribosomal RNA". It matches the Rfam family "Bacterial small subunit ribosomal RNA", at positions 28 to 507 of the family's 1533-position model. The record is from RNAcentral.
GACGAACGCUGGCGGCGUGCUUAACACAUGCAAGUCGAACGGAAAGGCCCUGCGUUUGUGGGGUGCUCGAGUGGCGAACGGGUGAGUAACACGUGGGUAACCUGCCCUUGACUUUGGGAUAACUUCAGGAAACUGGGGCUAAUACCGGAUAGGAGCUACUGCUGCAUAGUGGGGGUUGGAAAGUUUCGGCGGUUGGGGAUGGACUCGCGGCGUAUCAGCUUGUUGGUGGGGUAGUGGCUUACCAAGGCUUUGACGGGUAGCCGGCCUGAGAGGGUGACCGGCCACAUUGGGACUGAGAUACGGCCCAGACUCCUACGGGAGGCAGCAGUGGGGAAUAUUGCACAAUGGGCGGAAGCCUGAUGCAGCAACGCCGCGUGCGGGAUGACGGCCUUCGGGUUGUAAACCGCUUUCGCCUGUGACGAAGCGUGAGUGACGGUAAUGGGUAAAGAAGCACCGGCUAACUACGUG